Molecule: long non-coding RNA, 988 nt
Organism: Rosa chinensis
Lineage: Eukaryota; Viridiplantae; Streptophyta; Magnoliopsida; Rosales; Rosaceae
Exons: 7
Source: RefSeq, a predicted model, not a curated record
CAUAUUGAAUUAUAAAAAUGUAGGCCAAGUGCAUGAUUGUGUUCUGUUUCAUUGUGGCUGGUAUCUGUUCUCCAGUCAAUGGGUACACUCAACGUGUGUGUCAGGUUUUGAUUGACUUCAUUGAUACCUCCAAUUGUGUUUAACCCGGUCAAAUAAUAAUAUGGAUAUAUUUUGUUGACCAAUACAUCAGAAUGGUCUUUGUGUUCAAUUUGAUCUAUGAUUAUUUACUGGAAGCCACCUUUUUUUUCCAUAGUGGACUAUCAAAUUAUAGGUUCCCAAUCAGGGACUGAAAUGAAUGAGGAAAAGCCUAUGUAGACUACUUGCCAAAAGUGUACUUUUAUACCUCUUAAUCUUCCUUCUUAGAUCUAUAACCAGAUUCCUGCUAUUGCUAAGGAGGAACUAAAAUCUGUUGAAUAUCUCCAACCUGCUUCCCGAUGCUGCAAAGAGAUUGCUGAUUUUGGGACUGCGAAUCCAGAUCCGUUAAUACCAACAAAUCGAAAGAAACGACGAUCCUGUUGCUUUUGGAAAUGGCUCUGGACUUGCGAAAGCUUGUUUGUACCUGCGUAUAGCUUGUGGUCUUCUAGUACCAGAAGCCAAGCUGUUUCUGCAUUUGGAGGAUUUGCUUUAUGUGGUUAAAGCCAAACCCCAUGAUGUGUGACUCACUGAUUGUGCAAACUAAGUUGAGCCAAAGUGAUUCUCUCUGUAAAUAUUCUCAUUCUAGCAUCUCAUGUGAUUCUGAAUUUCAGUCAGAGGUUGUGAAAGAUGACUCGUUGUCAAAGGUGAGUAAUCUUGAUGAAGGUAUUGAACGACUUGGAUCCUGCAAUAAAAGUUCAUACCCGACAAUUUCCAGCUUGAAUAGGAUGUAAGCUUUUUCCCCGGAAGCAACAAGCAAAUUAUGUCUCUUUUCUACUAUUCUGUUUGCAUUUGUAAGGGGUUCACUUGAAAGUUUAGGAAUAAUAGUACAUGACAAAGGAAUUUAUUUUAAAUU